CCUACGGGAGGCAGCAGUGAGGAAUAUUGGUCAAUGGACGAGAGUCUGAACCAGCCAAGUAGCGUGAAGGAUGACUGCCCUAUGGGUUGUAAACUUCUUUUAUAAAGGAAUAAAACGAGGCACGUGUGCCUUUUUGCAUGUACUUUAUGAAUAAGGAUCGGCUAACUCCGUGCCAGCAGCCGCGGUAAUACGGAGGAUCCGAGCGUUAUCCGGAUUUUUUGGGUUUAAAGGGGGCGUAGAUGGUUUGUUAAGUCAGUUGUGAAAGUUUGCGGCUCAACCGUAAAAUUGCAAUUGAUACUGGCAGUCUUGAGUACAGGUGAGGUAGGCGGAAUUCGUGGUGUAGCGGUGAAAUGCUUAAAUAUCACGAAGAACUCCGAUUGCGAAGGCAGCUUACUAAACUGCCACUGACAUUGAUGCUCGAAAGUGUGGGUAUCAAACAGGAUUAGAUACCCUAGUAGUC
RNAcentral lists this ribosomal RNA (460 nucleotides) under uncultured bacterium. Its description in RNAcentral is "partial 16S ribosomal RNA". It matches the Rfam family "Bacterial small subunit ribosomal RNA", at positions 338 to 795 of the family's 1533-position model. The record is from RNAcentral.